ACCCCAUGCUUUAAAUUCCCCAUGGCCUUUGUGGUACACAUCUAGCAAACCCACACUUUACUGACUGUACCUUUCUCUUAAGCCCAGAAUUGCUGUCACAUGAAAGAAAACACAAACUUAGUUCAGAAACAAUGGUAACCCAAUCUCUGGGCUCAACAACUAAAACCUAAUCCUGUAAGCCUUAUUAAAAUCUGAUUCCUUUGGUGGCAAAUCCUUGUGGAUCCGCCAAGAUACAGGGAAACUCUAGCAGCUACAUCUUAACCCCCUGCUGUCCUGUUCCAGAAGGACCUAACUCUCUCUUGCUACCUCUCCUCCUUUGUACAACUCAGAAGUCCCGCCUACUCGCCCAGUGAUUGGCUCCUUUAUUCAUUAGUGAUUGGUUCACAGGAACAGCACCAGGCCCACCCACAACACAGAUCUGCCCAGAAACUGAGCAACACCCCAACACCCUGUAUAACUCUUAUGAGCUGUCCCAACACUGCACAGGCCUCACACCUCCCCAUAUCCCCCCGCUCCUCCUUGCCCUGUGUCCUGACUGCUGUCUUCUGACUUUGACUUUUCUGCCCUUUGCCCCUGGUCUGAUCUCAAGGGCAAACCCUUUCUGGAGUCAGAAGGGAUAUGUCCUGGUUGUGGAAGGUUGGGCAACAAUAAUGGCUUCUACAAACUCAGGAGGAACUGUGCUCCACCUCCCUGCACAUGGGCCCUGAGCACAAACACUAUUGCUGGUGCCAAGAAGUGCUUGCUGACAGGAACCUGAUAUGGCUGCUCUACCAAUACACCAAUACGCACCUGACCAAUACAGUUGCAGAUACUCACAGGCAACCACCAGACUGAGCCUGGAGACCCCAAUGGAGGAGUAAGGGGAAGGACUGAAGGAGCUGAAGGGGAUUGCAACCCCAUAGGAAGAACAAUAUCAACUAACUGGACCACCCAGAGCUCUCAGAGACUAAAUGACCAACCAAAGUAUAUACAUGGAGGGAUCCAAGGCUCCAGAUACAGAUAAGGAUGGCCUUAUUUGACAUCACUGGGAGGAGAGGCCUUUGGUCCUGGGGAUGCUAGAGGGGUGAGUUAGUAGUGGGUGAAUGGGUGGAAGAGCAUACUCAUAGAGGCAAAUGGGAGGGGGGAGAAGGGAAUGAGAUGGGGGUUUGUGGUGGGGUAACUGGGAAGGGUGAUAUCAUUUGAAAUGUAAAUGAUUAAUUUGAAUAAAACGAUUAAUAAUUACAAAAGAAAGCUAGUUAGCUAUAGCAUUUGUUAUCCAAUCUAUGAAUGCUAAGAAUGUGCAGGUAUAAAUAGAGCUUUGAUCUGAACAAAUGAUUUGAACAGUCUGAAAGGCAGGACCAAAUGACCUAGCUGCUCUGAAAAUGUCUGAGAAGCAAGUCUUCAGAGGGAAAAGCUUCAAUGACGGUAAGGCAGGAUCAAGCAGGGAGCUGGGAAAACGCGACUCUGCAUCUCAGCCUCCCCAAGGGCGGAGCCUGUCAGGGUGGCCCUCCUGGUCUUCUAUUCUGCGAUACUCAAACUUCACAAGCAAUGCAGAGGACUGUGAAGGCGUCUGUGUGAACAUGCAGCAUGCCCAGCACAAUCAAGUUCGAUUUCAUGCUUUCUGUCAGCAACUGAAAAACAACUGCCUUUCUUUAGAAGCUAGUUUGAUCAUACAAUCAAACUGCAACACAAAUCUCUAUUCAUGCCAUUAUGCUAUGCAAUAACAAGUCUGAGAAUUUGGUAGCCAGCAGGACUUACUGGCCAUGAAAGCUGAAGUUCUGGCUGGAGAUGUAUAAUGUCCCAGUCAGUUUCUGAUUUGUUUUAAUAGAGGGUUUGACGUUGAACAUUGCCAGUUUGUUUGACCCUUUAAUUUUCUUCUUGUCUAUACAGUUGAGAUCAUCAGGAGGUCAGCCCCUGUCAUGUGUGAUUUUUAUCAGUUUGGAAAGAACUCAAAGCUUUUCUUUUCCUGUGGAAAUAUAGGCAUGACCUCUCUCCCCCAGUGUAACACAUUUCUUGUUUUCUAUUCUGAGGUUAGGACAUAAACAGGCUGGUAGGUUCAGCAGUCCCCUCCCUCCCCCAGUAAUCCAACGUCUCUCAGAAACUGCAGCUUUUUUUGUUAUCAUUCAAAAAACCACUUAAUAAAACAUUAUGUAAUC
This 2135-nucleotide long non-coding RNA is filed under the name Mus musculus (house mouse). RNAcentral's name for it is "long non-coding RNA chr8:72765480-72767615". The record is from RNAcentral. Lineage: Eukaryota; Metazoa; Chordata; Mammalia; Rodentia; Muridae.